UUUUAUGGAGAGUUUGAUCCUGGCUCAGGAUGAACGCUGGCGGCGUGCCUAAUACAUGCAAGUCGAGCGAACGGAUGAGAAGCUUGCUUCUCUGAUGUUAGCGGCGGACGGGUGAGUAACACGUGGAUAACCUACCUAUAAGACUGGGAUAAAUUCGGGAAACCGGAGCUAAUACCGGAUAAUAUUUUGAACCGCAUGGUUCA
RNAcentral lists this ribosomal RNA (203 nucleotides) under Staphylococcus aureus. Its description in RNAcentral is "partial 16S ribosomal RNA". It matches the Rfam family "Bacterial small subunit ribosomal RNA", at positions 1 to 197 of the family's 1533-position model. Lineage: Bacteria; Bacillati; Bacillota; Bacilli; Caryophanales; Staphylococcaceae. The record is from RNAcentral.